AGCCACAGCCAUAUCACCCUGCAGCCCAAGACUGGUUGCCCACUGAAGCCAAGCAGGGUUGAGCCUGGUCAGUACCUGGAUGGGAGACCUCCUGGGAAAACUAGGUUGCUGUUGGAA
This 117-nucleotide ribosomal RNA is filed under the name Sinocyclocheilus grahami. Lineage: Eukaryota; Metazoa; Chordata; Actinopteri; Cypriniformes; Cyprinidae. The record is from RNAcentral.